This 310-nucleotide ribosomal RNA is filed under the name uncultured eukaryote. RNAcentral's name for it is "partial 18S ribosomal RNA". It matches the Rfam family "Eukaryotic small subunit ribosomal RNA", at positions 1470 to 1796 of the family's 1831-position model. The record is from RNAcentral.
CCCUUAGAUGUUCUGGGCGGCCCGCGCACUACAAUGGCGCUUUCAGCGAGUUCCUAUGUUGAAUUUUCCUUGGUAUUCUUGGAAGCGGCGUCUUGACUUGGGAUAGAUCCUUGUAAUUGUUGGUUUUGAACGAGGAAUUCCUUGUAAUCGCGGUUGAUCAGCUCGCGUUGAAUACGUCCCUGCCCUUUGUACACACCGCCCGUCGCUCCUACCGAUGAAUCGUCCGGUGAAGUUCACAGAGUGGCGGUUCGCGGAGUUGCUCGCGAAGUGAAAUGGACCUCACGAUUUAGAGGAAGGAGAAGUCGUAACA